UGGUGAAGUCAGUUGACCAUGAAGUUACUCCAAAUACAAUAUCAACAGGAACCCACAGAUGAUAGGAACAAAUGGUUUCCAACAAUGGUAUAAAUACUUACUCGACUUGGACAGUUGUAAAUGAUAGUAACAGGUAUAAUUAUGGUACUAAGAUUGAAGGCAAUAGAAGGUUUAGAUGGCAGAGGAGAUAGAGGAUUGGGCUUGGAAUCGUGAAAACCUGAGUUUGUCUCUUGCCCCCCAUAUGAUGUGAACUUAGGCAAAUAAUUUUAUCUUUUUCAGCCUCGGUUUUCUCAUCUGUAAAAUGAAGGAAUUGGAUUUGAUGGCUUUUGUGGUCCCUUCUAACCCUAAAUCCAUUAUACUAUGAUCCUUAAAUGAAUAAUAAAGUGGAGGAAUUCCAUGGAGACUGGAACAACCUCCAGGAAGUGAUGCAGAGUGAGAGGAGCAGAACCAGGAGAAUAUUGUACACAGAGACUUACACAUUGUGGUACAAGAGAACGUAAUGGACUUCUCCAGUAAUGGCUUUACAAUGUCCCUGAACAGCCUGAAGCAAUCUACGUGAUUAAAAAAAAAAAAGAAACUAAACUAUCCUCAAGCAGAGGACAAACUGAGGGAGUAAAAACACCGAGGAAAAACAACUGCUUGACUACAGAGGUUGAGGGGACAUGAUCGAGGAGAGAUGCUAAAUGAACGCCCUAAUGCAAAUACCAACAAUAAGGAAAUGGGUUCAGAGCAAGGACACAUGUGAUACCCAGACGAAUUGCGCAUUGGCUAGGGAGGGGGUGAGGUGUUUGAGGGGAAGGAAAAGAAAAUGAUCUGUUUCCAAUGAACAAUGUAUGAAAAUGACCAAAUAAAAUAAUGUUUAAAAAAAAAAAAGAGGAGAGA
This 882-nucleotide long non-coding RNA is filed under the name Monodelphis domestica (gray short-tailed opossum). RNAcentral describes it as "lncRNA (ENSMODG00000031940.2)". The record is from RNAcentral. Lineage: Eukaryota; Metazoa; Chordata; Mammalia; Didelphimorphia; Didelphidae.